This 449-nucleotide ribosomal RNA is filed under the name uncultured bacterium. Its description in RNAcentral is "partial 16S ribosomal RNA". It matches the Rfam family "Bacterial small subunit ribosomal RNA", at positions 29 to 523 of the family's 1533-position model. The record is from RNAcentral.
AGCGAACGCUGGCGGCAGGCUUAACACAUGCAAGUCGAACGGACCCUUCGGGGUUAGUGGCGGACGGGUGAGUAACACGUGGGAACGUGCCUUUAGGUUCGGAACAACACAGGGAAACUUGUGCUAAUACCGGAUGUGCCCUUCGGGGGAAAGAUUUAUCGCCUUUAGAGCGGCCCGCGUCUGAUUAGCUAGUUGGUGGGGUAGAGGCCUACCAAGGCGACGAUCAGUAGCUGGUCUGAGAGGAUGGCCAGCCACAUUGGGACUGAGACACGGCCCAAACUCCUACGGGAGGCAGCAGUGGGGAAUCUUGCGCAAUGGGCGAAAGCCUGACGCAGCCAUGCCGCGUGGAUGAUGAAGGUCUUAGGAUUGUAAAAUCCUUUCACCGGGGACGAUAAUGACGGUACCCGGAGAAGAAGCCCCGGCUAACUUCGUGCCAGCAGCCGCAGUAA